UCCCGGGUGGUGUAAUCGGCAACACCGGCGGUUUUGGUCCGUCUGUUCUAGGUUCGAGUCCUAGCCCGGGAGCCC
Molecule: transfer RNA, 75 nt
Filed under: Marinactinospora thermotolerans DSM 45154
Lineage: Bacteria; Bacillati; Actinomycetota; Actinomycetes; Streptosporangiales; Nocardiopsidaceae
Description: tRNA_Gln_TTG
Rfam family: tRNA
About the family: Transfer RNA (tRNA) molecules are approximately 80 nucleotides in length. Their secondary structure includes four short double-helical elements and three loops (D, anti-codon, and T loops). Further hydrogen bonds mediate the characteristic L-shaped molecular structure. tRNAs have two regions of fundamental functional importance: the anti-codon, which is responsible for specific mRNA codon recognition, and the 3' end, to which the tRNAs corresponding amino acid is attached (by aminoacyl-tRNA synthetases). tRNAs cope with the degeneracy of the genetic code in two manners: having more than one tRNA (with a specific anti-codon) for a particular amino acid; and 'wobble' base-pairing, i.e. permitting non-standard base-pairing at the 3rd anti-codon position.
Source: RNAcentral